This 335-nucleotide long non-coding RNA is filed under the name Lathyrus oleraceus (garden pea). RNAcentral's name for it is "Pisum sativum (pea) long non-coding RNA (PSAT_LNC036953)". The record is from RNAcentral. Lineage: Eukaryota; Viridiplantae; Streptophyta; Magnoliopsida; Fabales; Fabaceae.
GUGGUAAAAGAAAGAAAAGAAGAAAGGAAAAAAAGAUAAGAAGAAGUAGGUAAGGGAGGAAGAGAGAUAUCAGAAAGAAGAGAAAGAGGAAGAAAGAAGAAAAGAGAAAGAGGAAGAAGAGGAAGGAAGAAGAGGGAAAGCUCAUGAAGAGCAUGUUCAUCAACACCAUCAUGUCAUCUUCAUCACCACCAACUUCAUCUUCUUCUUCUACUAGGUGAGUUCUUAGAUAGUUUUAGCAUUUGGGGGAAAAUAAUCUAUAUUUGUGGGGUUAGGAUUUGUGUCAUUUGUGAUAAACUUGUUGUGUGCAUACUCCCUAUCCAUGCUAUGUGUUGAAA